CACGUAGGCGGACUGUUUAGUCAGGGGUGAAAUCCCGAGGCUCAACCUCGGAAUUGCCCUUGAUACUGGCAGUCUUGAGUCCGAGAGAGGUGAGUGGAAUUCCGAGUGUAGAGGUGAAAUUCGUAGAUAUUCGGAGGAACACCAGUGGCGAAGGCGGCUCACUGGCUCGGUACUGACGCUGAGGUGCGAAAGCGUGGGGAGCAAACA
Molecule: ribosomal RNA, 207 nt
Filed under: uncultured bacterium
Lineage: Bacteria
Description: partial 16S ribosomal RNA
Rfam family: Bacterial small subunit ribosomal RNA
Source: RNAcentral